RNAcentral lists this ribosomal RNA (505 nucleotides) under uncultured bacterium. RNAcentral's name for it is "partial 16S ribosomal RNA". It matches the Rfam family "Bacterial small subunit ribosomal RNA", at positions 28 to 507 of the family's 1533-position model. The record is from RNAcentral.
GACGAACGCUGGCGGCGUGCCUAAUACAUGCAAGUAGAACGCACAGUUUAUACCGUAGCUUGCUACACCAUAAACUGUGAGUUGCGAACGGGUGAGUAACGCGUAGGUAACCUGCCUGGUAGCGGGGGAUAACUAUUGGAAACAUUAGCUAUUACCGCAUAAUAUUGAUUAUUCCAUGUUAAUUGAUUGAAAGUUGCUAUUGCAUCCCUACAAGAUGAACCUCCGUUGUAUUAGCUAGUAGGUGAGGUAACGGCUCACCUAGGCGACGAUACAUAGCCGACCUGAGAGGGUGAUCGGCCACACUGGGACUGAGACACGGCCCAGACUCCUACGGGAGGCAGCAGUAGGGAAUCUUCGGCAAUGGACGAAAGUCUGACCGAGCAACGCCGCGUGAGUGAAGAAGGUUUUCGGAUCGUAAAGCUCUGUUGUAAGAGAAGAACGGGUGUGAGAGUGGAAAGUUCACACUGUGACGGUAUCUUACCAGAAAGGGACGGCUAACUACGUG